Molecule: ribosomal RNA, 51 nt
Filed under: Eptatretus stoutii (Pacific hagfish)
Lineage: Eukaryota; Metazoa; Chordata; Myxini; Myxiniformes; Myxinidae
Description: partial 5.8S ribosomal RNA
Source: RNAcentral
AUUGCGGCCCGGGCUACACACCCGGGGCCACGCCUGUCUGAGGGUCGCUCG